UUUACAUAGCGUUUCUUUUAAAUGUUGCCAGCUGGAUUUCAUCACCUUUUUCUGUUAGACUGUUGGACUGGAUAUGGAUCCAUAUGACAGCCGCUGGAUGGAGAUAACAUCGCGCUGACAGCAGAUGUGGAUUAGUGUUACCAGCCCCGCUGCUGCCGAGUGCUGAUGACUGGGCCUCUGCAGGUUGUUUGCAAGGGGAAGGGGCAGCAGAGGCCUGCACUAACCAGAGGGGUGGCUUGUCUUUGGGCACCAACUCUCAGCCGGGACGCUCUCAUUUCCAGGACCAAGACACAACGACACACACGCACACAGCACACACACACACAGCUCUUCUUUCAGCAAACAGGUUGAUAUGGUGAGACAAAGUUACUGGGUGGGCUCCUCUGCAGCAGUGGAUGUCCCUCGGUUCAAGGCUAUCAAGUGUUUUCCAUUUUAAAAAAAAAGAAGAAAAGACAGAAAGAAAGAAAAUUAAAAUAAAUAAAACAAAAUAAAAUAAAAUGAGCCAAAAGUUUGGUGAAGUUUGGCUCAGUGCUUAAUAAAGGCAGCAGGUCAGCGAAGGGAGAGGGUGACAGCGAGGUUAGCUGGAGGGCCAGACAGCGC
Long non-coding RNA from Myripristis murdjan (pinecone soldierfish), 600 nucleotides. RefSeq lists it as uncharacterized. Lineage: Eukaryota; Metazoa; Chordata; Actinopteri; Holocentriformes; Holocentridae. The transcript has 4 exons. The record is from RefSeq and is a predicted model, not a curated record.